UGGCCAAGUUGUGUAGGGCACAUGGUGGAUGCCUUGGUACCAGGAGCCGAUGAAGGACGUGGGAGACUGCGAUAGUCCUCGGGGAGUUGUCAACCGAGCUGUGAUCCGAGGGUGUCCGAAUGGGGUAACCCAGCCCGAGUGAUGUCGGGUUACCAGCGCCUGAAUAUAUAGGGUGUUGGGGGGAACGCGGGGAAGUGAAACAUCUUAGUACCCGCAGGAAGAGAAAACACUGGUGAUUCCGUGAGUAGUGGCGAGCGAAAGCGGAGGAGGCUAAACCGUGCGCGUGGGAUACCUGGUAGGGGUUGCGUGUGCGGGGUUGUGGGACGCUGCUGGAAGACGCUACUGGGUCUUCAGCGUUGCUGGUCGUGUUAGUCGAACAGGUUGGGAUGCCUGGCCGGAGUGGGUGAGAGUCCCGUAGGCGAAAAUGCGAUUGGUGAGUGUGGUGGUGUUCCCGAGUAGCAGCGCUUUCGUGGAGGGUGCUGUGAAUCUGGCGGGACCACUCGCUAAGCCUAAAUACUUCCUGGUGACCGAUAGUGGAUAGUACCGUGAGGGAAUGGUGAAAAGUACCCCGGGAGGGGAGUGAAAGAGUUCCUGAAACCGUGUGCCUGCAAACCGUCAGAGCCUUUUGGGGUGAUGGCGUGCCUUUUGAAGAAUGAGCCUGCGAGUUACUGCUGCGUGGCGAGGUUAACCCGUGUGUGGGGUAGCCGGAGCGAAAGCGAGUCUGAAUAGGGCGUGUGAGUCGCGUGGUGUAGACCCGAAGCGGAGUGAUCUACCCAUGGCCAGGGUGAAGCGCGGGUAAGACCGUGUGGAGGCCCGAACCCACCAGGGUUGAAAACCUGGGGGAUGAGUUGUGGGUAGGGGUGAAAGGCCAAUCAAACUCCGUGAUAGCUGGUUCUCCCCGAAAUGCAUUUAGGUGCAGCGUUGCGUGUUGCUUGGGUGGGGUAGAGCACUGGUUGGUUGAUGGGCCUUCGCGGGUUACUGAGAUCAGCCAAACUCCGAAUACGCCUGAGUGUGAGCGUGGCAGUGAGACGGCGGGGGAGAAGCUUCGUCGUCGAGAGGGAAACAGCCCAGAGCAUCGGCUAAGGCCCCUAAGUGUGCGCUUAGUGGGAAAGGAUGUGGGAUCGCCGAGACAACCAGGAGGUUGGCUUAGAAGCAGCCAUCCUUGAAAGAGUGCGUAAUAGCUCACUGGUCAAGUGGUCCUGCGCCGACAAUGUAGCGGGGCUGAAGCGCACCGCCGAAGCCAUGC
RNAcentral lists this ribosomal RNA (1246 nucleotides) under Saccharopolyspora spinosa. RNAcentral describes it as "bacterial LSU rRNA". It matches the Rfam family "Bacterial large subunit ribosomal RNA", at positions 1 to 1205 of the family's 2925-position model. Lineage: Bacteria; Bacillati; Actinomycetota; Actinomycetes; Pseudonocardiales; Pseudonocardiaceae. The record is from RNAcentral.